AUGCAAGUCGGAAUGCAUCGGGAUCCAGUGGCGGAAGGGUGAGUAACACGUGAGCAACCCGCCCCCAAGGCCGGAACAAGCGCUGGAAACGGCGUCUGAAACCGGAUGAGGACCCCCACCGCAUGGCGGGGCGUCCAAAUAUUCAUACCCUGGGGAUGGGCUCGCGGCCCAUUAGCUUGUCGGCGGGGCAACGGCCCACCGAGGCGACGACGGGUAUGUGGUCUGAGAGGAUGGUCACCCACACUGGGACUGAGACACUGCCCAGACUCCUGCGGGAGGCUGCAGUCGAGAAUCUUCCGCAAUGGGCGCAAGCCUGACGGAGCGAUGCCGCGUGAGGGACGGAGGCCUUCGGGUCGUGAACCUCUGUCGCCCGGGACGAUGGUGACGGUACCGGGAAAGGAAGCCACGGCUAACCACGUGCCAGCAGCCGCGGUAACACGUGGGU
This 445-nucleotide ribosomal RNA is filed under the name uncultured rumen bacterium. RNAcentral's name for it is "bacterial SSU rRNA". It matches the Rfam family "Bacterial small subunit ribosomal RNA", at positions 55 to 532 of the family's 1533-position model. The record is from RNAcentral.